AGGGUGUGUAGGUGGUCAUAUUAGUCAGCUUGUUAAAUCCCGGGGCUUAACUCCGGAAUCGCAGCCGAAACGGUACGACUCGAGAGCGUAAGGGGUGAAUGGAACUCAUGGUGUAGGGGUGAAAUCCGUUGAUAUCAUGGGGAACACCGAAAGCGAAAGCAAUUCACUGGUACGUUUCUGACACUGAAACACGAAAGCGUGGGUAGCGAACGGGAUUAGAUACCCCGGUAGUCCACGCCCUAAACGAUGAUAACUGGAUAUAGGGAGUAUCGACCCUCUCUGUGUCGAAGCAAACGCGUUAAGUUAUCCGCCUGGGUAGUACGGUCGCAAGACUAAAACUCAAAGGAAUAGACGGGGGCUUGCACAAGUGGUGGAGCGUGUGGCUUAAUUCGUCGCUAAGCGAAGAACCUUACCAAGGUUAGAAAUCCUACUGCACGCCUAUCGAAAGAUAGGAAGCCUUCGAGGGUGUAGGACAGGUGAUGCAUGGCUGUCGUCAGUUCGUGGUUUGAAUCGUUCCCUUCAGUGGGGCAACG
RNAcentral lists this ribosomal RNA (533 nucleotides) under uncultured bacterium. Its description in RNAcentral is "bacterial SSU rRNA". It matches the Rfam family "Bacterial small subunit ribosomal RNA", at positions 564 to 1094 of the family's 1533-position model. The record is from RNAcentral.